RNAcentral lists this long non-coding RNA (1291 nucleotides) under Betta splendens (Siamese fighting fish). RNAcentral's name for it is "lncRNA (ENSBSLG00000020881.1)". The record is from RNAcentral. Lineage: Eukaryota; Metazoa; Chordata; Actinopteri; Anabantiformes; Osphronemidae.
AUGACCUGGCAUUUGGACCUUGCCAGUGCCCCCUGGCCUGGCUACCUGCUGUGUCCUCUAUGUCGCCUCUUGCCAGGAGCAAGAUGGAUCGGGAUAAUUUGGCUGUCAGCCACGUUGAAUGACGAGCCGUCAGCUAAGCCUGCAGACGCCCCACUUCUGGAAGCGCAUCGGACAAGAACUGAUGGAGCUGGAAAUGAAUACAAAGAAUGUGUGAGUUUAGCAGUACUGAAAUAUGUUUGGUUUUGUGGUUGUAUUUUCUUUUUUUUUUUUUUACACAUCGACUAUUUUUAAAUUCCUGUCAGAAGCAUAUGUCAGCACACACUGCUGGUUGAAGGAAACCAGCACAGUACAGAAAAAAGAUUGGCUACAAUGUGUGUUGCAUAUGAACAAUAUAAUGAAAUUAAUGUGUCUUGCCCUGUGUUUAUUACCUUGAUAAAUCAAUACACAGAUAGAUCAAUAUAAAUGUUCAAAAACAAAUGUUGUUCUGAUAAGUCAAUUAAAAAAAAAUCAAAUACAAACUAUUCUUCUCUUUGCAAAUCUGGACAUAGGUUAUUACUUUAUGUAUAGGUAAUUACUGUAUAGAGUAUAAAUGGUACUUACUGAUGAAUUCAGUUAACAGUUGCAUUUACAGUAAGUAUGAAUGCAGGCAUUUUUACACAUGUUAAAUAGAAUGAGUGAUAUACAAUAGCCUGCAGCCAGAGAUGCUGCUGGUUGCUUCAAACAGCUCAUGACCCAGCUGUCCAUCUAUAAAACGUGAGUCCACAAGUAAUAUUGAUUGUGGCAACCACAUAUUGUAUGUCUCAACCAGACAAUUUGGUACUUGCAAUACUGUACAAUUGCUUGUUUGGCUAAAUGAAUGCUAGUAAGUGCUAGUCUGCUACUGUACAUCCAUUGCUGAAGGCAUCUUUUUGAUGAUGCUAGCAGUAAAAUUAUGUACUUGAGAGUAAGUGCAUUGUCACCUUCGCUUACUGCAAAAACUAUGACCUAAUAGGUGAGCUGAAAAUGCAUUGUUAGUUGAUAUGUUAUAGUAUCCUGGAAUACUGUACAGCCUGUACAGACCAAGACAGCAUAAACACAACCAUGUACCAUUUUAUAAGUGGCUUUUAUAGGAGUCUGCGAGAGAGGCAGAGUCAAGCAAGCAGAUAUUCAGUGAAACCAUUAAAAGUCAGCUACAACUGCCAGUACAGCAAGAAUAAGCAAAAAUGAACAAAGCCUGUUGGACUGUAGUUUGGAAGGGGGUUGGAGGAGGUGGGAGAUGGGGUGGGGGGUGUGCUCCACUCUUCUUCCUCUU